RNAcentral lists this long non-coding RNA (503 nucleotides) under Mytilus galloprovincialis (Mediterranean mussel). Lineage: Eukaryota; Metazoa; Mollusca; Bivalvia; Mytilida; Mytilidae. The record is from RNAcentral.
ACAAUGCGCUAUAUCUUUUCUUCCCAGGUUUGAUUUAUUGACCCGUUCGAUCUGUGAAACUGAAGUUGAUAUAUUUAUUUAUUUUUGGUAGGCGCCGACGAUCACAUUCGGAUAAUAAAAAGGAAAAUGAUUUCGUAGAUUCCAUGGCGUACAAACUUCACUUGCAAGGGAAACGGAGUUCUUUGGUUUUCUGAUCCUGAAAUAAACUCAAACAUUUCUGCUUCAAGCGAAACGCAUAUCGAUGUUUUUUCUAACUGACCGAAAUGUUUAUGAUCUAGACGUAAAAAACACAACUGUACCAUCCAAUCUUAACACUGCUAAGUAAACGAGUUAAAGAAAAUGACACAAACGGGCGAUCUCAAUGGCAACAUAGGCGGGUUUUCUUUCAAGAUUCUAACAUCACAAGGAUGCUUAGAUGCAAGCUGUGAUACAUUGUUAUUCAAUGUAACUGCAAAUGAUAACGGUAUGUUAUUGUAGCAACAUGUUAUGUUAUAGUAUAUUCC